AGUUUUAUUUUUCAACUCUCUGGGAUCGGUUAUCGUAACGUAAAUACGAAUAAAAGUAGAAAAAUCAAAGCAAAACUGAUUUAACUAAAAAGGAAUGAAUUAAAGAAACAAAAAACAAUUUAUGAAUUUUAAAUACACCUUCAAUUAAAAAAGAAAUUUUCAAUAAAUUAAAUAAGAAUUUUAAAAAAUAGCAAAAAUCAUUUAAAAAUCUACAAAUUUAACUUCCAAAAAGGAAAAGCAGAAAACAAAGUGUGUUAAAUAUUGAAACUUAAUAAAUCAUUUAAAAGGAAUUCUUUUGCCAACUUACAAAAAGAAUUAAAAAUAAAAUAUUUGUGCAAUAAUUACAAAUCAAAAAUUAUUUGUUAAACAACUUAAGAAAAACGAAACUAAAUAUUAGUUUCAAUAAAUUUUUCUUGUAAAAUUUAACAAAGUUUAAGUAAAAAACGCAACUUUUCGCCACUACUACUAAAAUCGUUUAACGAUACAAAAAAAAUAAUAAAUUUUUCUUUCUAAAACUGUUAAUAAAAACAAUACCAAAAUUUUUGUCACAAUGAGUGUGUGUGAAAAUAGCAACUCAGUUGUUCAACAACAUCAGCAGCAAGUUCCGCCACAGCAUCUGCAAGCGGCUCAACAACAGCAGCCCCAGCUGCAGCAACAGCAGCAAACCCAACAGCAAAGUACACAAAGUAUUGCUGAUUAUUUGGCUCAGCUACUUAAGGAUCGUAAACAGUUGGCUGCAUUCCCAAAUGUUUUCAAUCAUGUCGAACGUCUACUUGACGAAGAAAUUGCCCGUGUUCGUGCCUCACUAUUUCAAAUAAAUGGCGUUAAAAAAGAACCUUUAAUGUUGCCAGAACCAGAAGGAGCACCGGUUACAUUAAAUGAAAAAGUCUACGUACCUGUCAGAGAACACCCAGAUUUUAAUUUCGUGGGUAGAAUUUUAGGCCCUCGUGGUAUGACCGCCAAACAGUUGGAACAAGAAACAGGCUGUAAAAUUAUGGUCAGAGGCAAAGGAUCAAUGAGAGAUAAAAAGAAGGAAGAUGCUAAUAGAGGCAAACCCAAUUGGGAACAUUUAUCAGAUGAACUACAUGUCUUGAUUACCGUCGAAGAUACAGAAAAUCGUGCCAAAAUCAAAUUAAGUCAAGCCGUCGCUGAAGUACAAAAACUACUCAUACCGCAAGCGGAAGGCGAAGAUGAGCUUAAGAAACGUCAACUGAUGGAAUUAGCAAUAAUUAAUGGCACUUAUAGGGAUACAACCGCCGUCAAAAAUGCAGCUCAAGUUUGUGAUGAAGAUUGGCGUCGUGUUGUAGCCGCUGCCUCGGCUGAUAAUCGUCUCUUGACUCAGGCCAGUCUGCCUGGUUUGGCUCAACAAAUGCGCGCCCCUACUGCUGCCCCACUGGGCGCUCCUUUAAUACUGUCACAGCGCAUGACGGUGCCCACAACAGCGGCGAGCAUAUUAUCGGGUACUGCAACACCUGCUAAUGCAUUUGAAAAUCCUGCUCAUGGCAUGAUUUUUGCUCCAUACGCCGAUUAUAAUCUCUACAAUACCGCCCUCACUGGAAAUCCUUUGCUGACGGAAUACGCAGAUCAUAGCGUAGGAGCCAUUAAACAACGACGUUUGGCGGCUAAUCGUGAACAUCCAUAUCAGAGAGCUGCUGUGGGGGUCCCAACUAAGCCAGGCUUUAUAGAGAUCCAAUAAAAAAAAAGUGUUUUCUCUGCGAAAAAAACAAAAAAAUACAUAAAAGUGAAUUUCAUUUUUUUUUACCUAAAUUAAUUUUAACUAAACAUUAAUUAAUUUUGUUUACAUAAUUGAGCUAAAGUUUAAAAAUUUUGUCGUUUUUCUUUUAAGUUUAAAAAAAAAUUAAUAACAAUAUUGUGUUAUAUUUUAUAAUUUCCAUUUUCUUUUUUAUUCACACUUCAUAACAAACGAACAAAUCUUCUUUUUAUGUUGGUGAAAAAGUUUAAUUUUAUUUUAAAACAAAAAAAAAAAAAAAAAGUAAGAAAAAAGCCUGUUUUUAGAAGGGGCCCCUCCCUGGCAUAUUGAUUGUUGUAACCAAAUAGUUAAAUAUCUCUGAUGUGUGUAAAAUGACUUGAUUUGUAUGCAUUAAAAGCAAAACUAUUUAACCAUAAUUCUUACAAAAUUACAAAACUCAAUUUUUACAGCUUAAAACAGGUAGAUGACUAAAAAGUAAAAAAUUACAGAAGAAAUAAAACCUGUGUUUAAGCUGCAACUACUCUGAAAUUAAAAAAAAAACAAACUUCUCAACUAAAAUAACAACAAUGACUACUACAGGAUUUAAACAACAACAAACUCAAAAUCAUCUUUAAUAACAAAGGAAAGAAGAGUCUCAUCAACAACUAAAAAAAAGUGGAAAACACUU
Molecule: RNA transcript, 2378 nt
Organism: Lucilia sericata (common green bottle fly)
Lineage: Eukaryota; Metazoa; Arthropoda; Insecta; Diptera; Calliphoridae
Gene: how
Gene name: protein held out wings
Exons: 9
Source: RefSeq, a predicted model, not a curated record